RNAcentral lists this long non-coding RNA (501 nucleotides) under Musa acuminata (dwarf banana). RNAcentral describes it as "long non-coding RNA (MACU_LNC000260)". The record is from RNAcentral. Lineage: Eukaryota; Viridiplantae; Streptophyta; Magnoliopsida; Zingiberales; Musaceae.
UAUAGUCCUACAAGUCCUGCUUACUCUCCGACAAGUCCAUCAUAUUCGCCAACUUCUCCCAGCUACAGCCCGACCUCUCCCAGUUAUAGCCCUACAUCUCCUACUUAUAGUCCUACUUCCCCCAGUUACAGCCCAACUUCCCCCAGUUACAGUCCUACUUCGCCAAGCUACAGCCCUACUUCUCCAGUUUACAGUCCGACUUCCCCAGCCUACAGUCCAACAUCUCCUGCCUACAGCCCAACCUCACCAUCCUAUAGUCCAACAUCACCUUCCUAUAGUCCGACAUCACCUUCAUAUAGCCCAACAUCACCUUCAUAUAGCCCGACUUCACCAUCAUACAGUCCUACCUCACCUGCCUAUAGCCCAACUUCUCCGGGAUACAGUCCAACAUCUCCUAGCUAUAGUCCUACAUCCCCAAGUUAUAGCCCCACAUCUCCAAGUUACAAUCCUGCCUCAGCAAAGUACAGUCCUUCGCUUGCUUAUUCUCCAAGCAGUCCAAGG